GCUGGGCGUGGUGGUGUGCGCCUGUAGUCCCAGCUACUUGGGAGGCUGAGGCAGGAUAAUCGCUUGAACCCAGGAGGUGGGGGUUGCAGUGAGCCAAGAUCACACCACUGCACUCCAGCCUGGGCGACAGAGCGAGAUCCCGUCUCAA
This 148-nucleotide small RNA is filed under the name Macaca fascicularis (crab-eating macaque). RNAcentral's name for it is "Metazoan signal recognition particle RNA (ENSMFAG00000057189.1)". It matches the Rfam family "Metazoan signal recognition particle RNA". Rfam says of the family: The signal recognition particle (SRP) is a universally conserved ribonucleoprotein. It is involved in the co-translational targeting of proteins to membranes. The eukaryotic SRP consists of a 300-nucleotide 7S RNA and six proteins: SRPs 72, 68, 54, 19, 14, and 9. The record is from Rfam by way of RNAcentral. Lineage: Eukaryota; Metazoa; Chordata; Mammalia; Primates; Cercopithecidae.